This 3056-nucleotide long non-coding RNA is filed under the name Homo sapiens (human). Its description in RNAcentral is "long non-coding RNA NONHSAT155986.1". The record is from RNAcentral. Lineage: Eukaryota; Metazoa; Chordata; Mammalia; Primates; Hominidae.
GAUCCCCUUAUCCAGGCCACCUUUGGAAACCAGCCCACCUGCUACACCAACCUUUUCCCAACACCGUGGUCCCACCCCUACCUUCGCUGCUGAAAAACCGCAUUGUGUGGGGGUCUGGAAUCUUCUGGACUCCUGGGACCCCAAUCCGCUUGCCUCUUGUACCCCUCUUGCAGAGCAAUGAGGUUUAUGGGGUGGGGUGAGGGGUGGGGAUGGGAUGAGAGAGGCUGCUUUCCUGGGCCUACAAUUGGAGUUCCCUUCUCCUUGCCAUCCCCAGAAACUCCAAGAGCUGACCCUCUGUCUUACUAACUCAAACGGCCCAGAAACAUCAAAGUCUGACCAAAAACCGUUAAUGGUAGUCAGCUCCCUCCCUUUCACAGAGGUCUCACUACUGUCGGGGGGCGCCGGGCGCAGGCCGGGCAUGGGGCCUGAGCUUAGGCCAGGUGGAAAGGUGGAAGGACCUAGUGGGGACAGACGAAGAGACCGAGGAGCCGCCCGCCCGGCUAAAUGGACACAGGAAAGGCCUGAGUCAGGCUUCUCAUAAUAAAUAAACUGCACGUGAAUAAUUCAGCAGUCGCGCGGGGGCCGGUUGCAUCAGCGCCGCCGCCGCCGCGCGGCGCCCAAUUCCCCGCGGAGGGGAGUAGCCAAUUAAGGCACUUGAAAAGGGAGUCGGGUGGAAGAUCCCCCGCCCACCAGUAUCCUGGAUUUACCCAGGUCGAGUUCAGAGAGCCUCCCCGGUCCCAACCCCCUCGGGCCCCAUGGGUCAGGGGGCCGCCUGCUGGGAAGUGCUACCUCAGCUAAGCCGCUCAGGUGUCCCGAGACUCCGGGCAAGGGAAGACAGGCGGCGAGACGGAGCCAGAAUAAGGGAUGCGGACGUCUGACCUGUGGAAAACCCAGCAUCUGCAGUGCCCAGCCGCACAGGGAACGUGGGCGGCGUGGUUCCAAGCACAGUGAAGACGCCAGGCUCGGAUCUGUGCUCAGAGCCGGGAUCCCUCCGGGCUGCUUCGUCCUGGCCAGGACUUUCCUUGCCCUGAAGUGAGGCGCCAGGGAAGCUGCAGGGCCCUCCGCCCUCUCUGAACUCCCACGUACUUGGGCCUCUCCCAGCCUUUCUUGGACCUGUGGAAGCAAUUCCUGCAGGACCAGACUCCCCUGUCUCCCCGCGGCCCCCUAGGUACACUCCGUAACUUCCGAAACCUUAUUUCGUUUGAGCGAAACCCGGCCCCUUUGGCUCUUCCCACUUCCCACAAGUCCCUGGGUUCCCGAUCCUGAGGGAUUGCAUUCAUCCCAUCUCACACCCACCAACGCUCAAUCCCUCCAGUUCCUCCCCAGCCCCUUCACUUCCAUUAAUUAGGUCGACUCCCUUCCUUCGCCGCUCCCUCCUGUCCCCACUCAGCCUCCCUACACCUAUGCGGCGAGCCUCGGGCCAAGACCUCCGCCCUGGCUCCGCCAGUCCUGCGGGGGCCGGCAUGCACCAGACCUCAAAAGGGAUCUUCACGGGAAUUCCGCAUAGCCAGAUCCCAAGCCUCCAGGGAGGCCACCAGCCCUCCCCCAUCUUCUUCUUCCUCCUCCGUCUCCUUUCCUCUUCCCUCCGCCUCUACGUAUUUCUUUCUAUUCGUUUCUUUUCGUUUGGUGAGGUGCCACCCGCCACAGCCCUGUCCCCUAGGGAGAGGCCUGGACUAACUUUGCCGUCCUCGUGGCCUUAGCCCGGACUGUGAGUCUCGAGCGGCUUCCGAGAGGCAGCUCGGGUGUCUUCGCAGAGACAGAUGAGGUGGGCUGGCGAUUCCCUAGCCUCAGAUGGCUCUGCCACCAGCCAGCUCUGUGAUCCUGGGCCGAUGGGGUGCCAGGCAUUAGAAACCUUCCCUCCAAUCCUCACCAUGUCUCCAUUUUGCCAAAGAAGAAACUGAGGUUAAGGUCGCGAUGCUCUGGCCAGCAUCACAGGUGGGAUUCGAACGCAGAUGGGGUUUGGAGCGGCUCUUGUGUUUAAGCCACACAGUCUGACGUUAGACGGGUGAAUCCAGCCCUCGCAGGGCCUGGAGUGACCUAAGCCGAGAGGAGCUGGGCUGAAUCUCCAGGCGUUCCUUUCUUUCUGCCCUAGGAAAGCUUUGAAAUUCUUAUUUUCAGGUAAACGAUUUUGGCAGUGCCCGGAGAAAGAUAGAAGUAAGACCUAAAGAGGAACUUUCCGCAUGUUAUGGGAGAGCCCCUGGGGCGAGGAGGCGAGGGCAGCCUUCCCCAGGCCAAGGGAGCAGCCAUCGCUCUUGGAUCUGUUUUUCCUCAAGCGUCUGUCCUGUGGGGCCUAGUCCCCAAGCGGCAGUCCUGGACCUAACGGGAGAAGGGGCUGGGGGAAGAGGGCGCACCCCCAGCCCGGGACCCACAGCAGCCCUAGCCAGUCCCCCACUCUCUCCCUCUGUAGGGGCCUCUCUCUGAGAUCGGGUCCUCCUCCUGCAGGGCAGCAGAGUGGAAGCCAGGGCCUGGGACCCUCUGGCUGGGCAAGGAGGGACUGGAGUCCGGCUCCCGGUGACCCCGUCCCCAGUGCCAGCGGUGGGGUCGCCUGUGGCGGCCCGGACAGGCCACGGGUCCCUCUCCCCAAGUCCCAUUACGUUGUAUUUAUGUUUCAUUUUAUAGUUUUUUUUUCCUCCUCCCUUAUUAUUGUCUCACUCUGGGGGAGGCAAAGGAUAUAAUAUAUUCAUCUUUAUUAUACCAAAUCUGUGUGAAGCAUUUAAUAAAACGCUGUUUCCACACAGCCAGGGAUAUUUCCUGUGCGCCCAAACUUGUGCCGGGCACCAAGACGAGAAUAAGACAGCAGGGCAGAAGUUGUGGAGAAGCUGAAUUGUCUCUCUGCAAGGAAAAAUUUCCUGACACAAGUAUCUGUCCAGGCAAGAAGAUUCAACUGCAAGAGCUUUCAGCAGGCAAUGGUGUCCAACUAGAAUCGAAACACAUUGUUAUUGUUUUACUUAUUUUUAUAAUUACUUUUUAUUUUGGCAAGUAACGGGUGGUUUCGCAGUUACUGUAGUGCUAGAAGGCUUUUUUAAAAAAACAAUAAACAUACUUGAGUAAGAAAU